Long non-coding RNA from Oncorhynchus tshawytscha (Chinook salmon), 702 nucleotides. The record is from Ensembl. NCBI's taxonomy places the organism in Eukaryota, Metazoa, Chordata, Actinopteri, Salmoniformes, Salmonidae.
UUCUUCCCCUUUCUUUGUGUCUCUCUGCCUUUAAUUUGCCUGAGGAUCAUUCAUAUGAGUCUUUUGGAAUAAUUUACUCAAUUAAACAAUGGAACCUCAACUGCAAAACAAUUCAUCAUGUUUUUUUCCAUCAUUAUGUUUGUUCCUGAACUUCCCUCCAGCUCUAUCCUGGAACCCUUAAGGAAAAUGGAAAACAGGGCGUCCACGAAAUACCCGGAGGCGGGAGCUAGCAGCAGAUACCAAAAGAUGUGGCAUGGGGUGGAACGAGAUAGACAAGAACUAAGAGUGCCCCCCCCUACCCCCAACAAACGAAGCAUGGGGACAUGGAGUCUGUGCUUCUCUGUACGGGUUUGUGUGGAAACGUGAAGGGAACUCCCAUCGGCUGGGUAAGGAUUGUUGGAAGGGUAGGGGUGGGCUCUUGGGAUCCAUUAUCAUCCAAAACUCUUUAUGUUACUAGUAUUACGUCUGUGGCGAAAGCAGGAAGGCAGACAUCUCCUGUUUGACUUGGCCGGAGAGCUAGGUGGUGGUGGAGAAGAUGCUUGCUUCCUGAAACCCAAAGAGAUUGACUAUCAUUCAGUGAUAUAUACAGUAUAUUGAAGUAUUAAUUUACAUUCUCUAAAAUAUUCAGAACAGGAUUUUUAAAAUGUAUUUAAUUGACAAUUUCAGACCAUAUCCCUUUUCCCCAAUAUAACACAUUUUGAC